Molecule: ribosomal RNA, 478 nt
Filed under: uncultured bacterium
Lineage: Bacteria
Description: partial 16S ribosomal RNA
Rfam family: Bacterial small subunit ribosomal RNA
Source: RNAcentral
GACGAACGCUGGCGGCGUGCUUAACACAUGCAAGUCGAACGGUAAGGCCCUUCGGGGUACACGAGUGGCGAACGGGUGAGUAACACGUGGGUGAUCUGCCCUGCACUUCGGGAUAAGCCUGGGAAACUGGGUCUAAUACCGGAUAGGACCUCGGGAUGCAUGUCCUGUGGUGGAAAGCUUUUGCGGUGUGGGAUGGGCCCGCGGCCUAUCAGCUUGUUGGUGGGGUGAUGGCCUACCAAGGCGACGACGGGUAGCCGGCCUGAGGGGGUGACCGGCCACACUGGGACUGAGAUACGGCCCAGACUCCUACGGGAGGCAGCAGUGGGGAAUAUUGCACAAUGGGCGCAAGCCUGAUGCAGCGACGCCGCGUGAGGGAUGACGGCCUUCGGGUUGUAAACCUCUUUCAGCACCGACGAAGCGCAAGUGACGGUAGGUGCAGAAGAAGGACCGGCCAACUACGUGCCAGCCGCCGCCGUAA